Molecule: ribosomal RNA, 468 nt
Filed under: uncultured bacterium
Lineage: Bacteria
Description: partial 16S ribosomal RNA
Rfam family: Bacterial small subunit ribosomal RNA
Source: RNAcentral
GACGAACGCUGGCGGCGUGCUUAACACAUGCAAGUCGAACGGAAAGGCCCUGCUUUUGUGGGGUGCUCGAGUGGCGAACGGGUGAGUAACACGUGAGUAACCUGCCCUUGACUUUGGGAUAACUUCAGGAAACUGGGGCUAAUACCGGAUAGGAGCUCCUGCUGCAUGGUGGGGGUUGGAAAGUUUCGGCGGUUGGGGAUGGACUCGCGGCUUAUCAGCUUGUUGGUGGGGUAGUGGCUUACCAAGGCUUUGACGGGUAGCCGGCCUGAGAGGGUGACCGGCCACAUUGGGACUGAGAUACGGCCCAGACUCCUACGGGAGGCAGCAGUGGAGAAUAUGGCACAAUGGGCGGAAGCCUGAUGCAGCAACGCCGCGUGCGGGAUGACGGCCUUCGGGUUGUAAACCGCUUUCGCCUGUGACGAAGCGUGAGUGACGGUAAUGGGUAAAGAAGCACCGGCUAACAACGUG